GACAGAGGGUGCAAACGUUGUUCGGAAUUACUGGGCGUAAAGCGCGUGUAGGCGGCUAAGUAAGUCGGGCGUGAAAUCCCACGGCUCAACCGUGGAAGUGCACUCGAAACUGCGUAGCUAGAGUCCUGGAGAGGAAGGUGGAAUGCUUGGUGUAGAGGUGAAAUUCGUAGAUAUCGAGAGGAACACCGGUGGCGAAGGCGGCAUCCUAGACCGACAUUGACGCUGAGGAGCGAAAGCUAGGGGAGCAAACGGG
This 253-nucleotide ribosomal RNA is filed under the name uncultured bacterium. Its description in RNAcentral is "partial 16S ribosomal RNA". It matches the Rfam family "Bacterial small subunit ribosomal RNA", at positions 524 to 776 of the family's 1533-position model. The record is from RNAcentral.